ACUUGUAUGAGUUGCACAAUCCAACGACCUUGUAGCCUCAUUGGUCUCAUGUCUUCAUAUCCCCCACCACACUCCGUCUCAAAGUCUCUUGUCCCCAGCUCUCCGUCUCUCUUCCCCAACAUUUAUCUACAACAUUUACUUCCAUUUUCAUCAACCCCACUAGUCUUUUUCUUCUACUUCUUCAUCAAGACCCAGGGCAGAGUGGGCAGACCCAGGACUGGUUUUUUGGGUUUGUGUUGAUGGGUUCAUGUGAUCAGGAAGAGAAAGAAGUGGAUUAUGAGGGAACCCAGAAGCUAGCCAAGACUUUUGUGGCUCUCCUGUGGUCAUUCUUUAUAAGCUUGGGAGGAGGGCUGACCUUGGUGUGGUGGGAGUUUGAGUAUCACCCCACAAACAGUCAGCUGUGGAUGGUGCCCUUUGGUCUCAUCAUGCUUGUUACUCCUGUAAUUGUAUGUUUCUCUGUUUUUGUCUCUGAUGUCUGCAACUCCAGUUCAGGUCAACUCUCUGCUUCUCUUGAUGACUCAGUUCAUCACCCUGUUUGAUUGAAGACGUUUCCAUGUGAUCAGUUGAAUGCUAUUAUCAAUCAAACAAACGAAAAAGCAUGGUGCUACAUGCUGUAAAUUUAAUGAUUCCAUUGAUGAGUUGUGUGCAUGUAUGAUGUAUGAUUCGGA
Long non-coding RNA from Vitis riparia (riverbank grape), 668 nucleotides. RefSeq lists it as uncharacterized. The record is from RefSeq and is a predicted model, not a curated record. The transcript has 2 exons. Lineage: Eukaryota; Viridiplantae; Streptophyta; Magnoliopsida; Vitales; Vitaceae.